RNAcentral lists this ribosomal RNA (466 nucleotides) under uncultured bacterium. RNAcentral's name for it is "partial 16S ribosomal RNA". It matches the Rfam family "Bacterial small subunit ribosomal RNA", at positions 33 to 507 of the family's 1533-position model. The record is from RNAcentral.
GACACGCUGGCGGCGUGCUUAACACAUGCAAGUCGAACGGAAAGGCCCUGCUUUUGUGGGGUGCUCGAGUGGCGAACGGGUGAGUAACACGUGAGUAACCUGCCCUUGACUUUGGGAUAACUUCAGGAAACUGGGGCUAAUACCGGAUAGGAGCUCCUGCUGCAUGGUGGGGGUUGGAAAGUUUCGGCGGUUGGGGAUGGACUCGCGGCUUAUCAGCUUGUUGGUGGGGUAGUGGCUUACCAAGGCUUUGACGGGUAGCCGGCCUGAGAGGGUGACCGGCCACAUUGGGACUGAGAUACGGCCCAGACUCCUACGGGAGGCAGCAGUGGGGAAUAUUGCACAAUGGGCGGAAGCCUGAUGCAGCAACGCCGCGUGCGGGAUGACGGCCUUCGGGUUGUAAACCGCUUUCGCCUGUGACGAAGCGUGAGUGACGGUAAUGGAUAAAGAAGCACCGGCUAACUACGUG